Molecule: ribosomal RNA, 539 nt
Filed under: Hydrogenophaga sp. BAC140P
Lineage: Bacteria; Pseudomonadati; Pseudomonadota; Betaproteobacteria; Burkholderiales; Comamonadaceae
Description: bacterial SSU rRNA
Rfam family: Bacterial small subunit ribosomal RNA
Source: RNAcentral
UAUUCGAUGCACGGAAAAACCUUACCCACCUUUGACAUGUACGGAAUUUGCCAGAGAUGGCUUAGUGCUCGAAAGAGAACCGUAACACAGGUGCUGCAUGGCUGUCGUCAGCUCGUGUCGUGAGAUGUUGGGUUAAGUCCCGCAACGAGCGCAACCCUUGUCAUUAGUUGCUACAUUCAGUUGGGCACUCUAAUGAGACUGCCGGUGACAAACCGCAGAAAGGUGGGGAUGACGUCAAGUCCUCAUGGUCCUUAUAGGUGGGGCUACACACGUCAUACAAUGGCCGGUACAAAGGGUCGCAAACCCGCGAGGGGGAGCCAAUCCAUCAAAGCCGGUCGUAGUCCGGAUCGCAGUCUGCAACUCGACUGCGUGAAGUCGGAAUCGCUAGUAAUCGUGGAUCAGCAUGUCACGGUGAAUACGUUCCCGGGUCUUGUACACACCGCCCGUCACACCAUGGGAGCGGAUCUCGCCAGAAGUAGGUAGCCUAAACGCAAGGAGGGCGAUUACCACGGCGGGGUUCGUGACUGGGGUGAAGUCGU